ACCCAGAUUGGGAUUAGCUGAAAAAGUUAAAAUGAAAGCCGCAGAGAAAAAAAUUGCAGCAAAUAAAGAAAAGGCUGGUGGGCAAUUACCCGCUAAAAAGAAAAAGGCCACACUUUUGGAGGAUUCGUCAUCGAAGCUUACAUCGAACCUUGAUGAUUCUGAUUAUGAUGAUGACAAUUCAUCGGAUGAUAGCGAUAGCUCUUACAACUUAUAAGCAUAUACUAAGUUUGUAACAACUGAAAAAAUUAACGCAUAUAUUUUUUUUAAACAUUCGUGUAUGUAUAUUUUUGUGCAUUAGUUAGGCU
This is a long non-coding RNA of Piliocolobus tephrosceles (Ugandan red Colobus), 305 nucleotides long. RefSeq lists it as uncharacterized. The record is from RefSeq and is a predicted model, not a curated record. The transcript is spliced from 3 exons. NCBI's taxonomy places the organism in Eukaryota, Metazoa, Chordata, Mammalia, Primates, Cercopithecidae.